Strigops habroptila (Kakapo) is the source of this 2965-nucleotide long non-coding RNA. The record is from Ensembl. NCBI's taxonomy places the organism in Eukaryota, Metazoa, Chordata, Aves, Psittaciformes, Psittacidae.
CUUUGGGACAAUUUUAUUGCAAAAGAUACAGCAACUUGUAUUGAUAAGUUCAGAAUAGCUUGUUUAUGUUACAGAAGGAGUUCUGCUGCUUUCUUCAAACAAAUACACCGCUUCAAAUAUUUGUGAAGAUUUAUAUGUAAGUUAUCUUUUUUUUAAUAAAACACUAUUUAGAGACUUUAGAAAAUGGAAAGUAUUUUGAUUACUAUGAAAGAUGAAGGUUGAGAGGAGUGUUCUGUGCUUGCUUUUGUUAAUGGAAGGGUGUAUUCUUACAAGUUUUGAGGCUUACACUGAAGUUUACAGUGUUUAUGACAUCUAAGUGUAGGUGAGAGUUGGAUUAAACAUUAAACCACUUUGACACUUAGAUCUAACAAUUUCAAGGUCAUCCUGAGAAGUUAAUAAAAAUGCACUUUGGCAACCAAGUGCCAUAGUUGUUCUCUAAACUUAAGAUUUAAACAAUAAACCCUGAAGUGCCCUUUAUAAAUGCUUGACUGAUAGCAGUGCAACUUCCCUGUGAAAGAGCAUUUGAAAGCUGGCUAUCAUUGCUUGAAAUUUAUGCUUUCAGAAGAAAUUAAAAUGCAUAUCCUAAAGCACACGCGUGUGCUCUAACUGUUCCUAAUCCCACAGCUUUCUGUGCUGCGCUUUCGGCAGAGCACUGGGGAGUCUCUGCAGAGUGACCAGUCUUCCUUGCUGCAUGAGUACAGCCAGUAUGGAAAAAAAUAAUGCUGCAUUAAAAAUUAAAACACUGUUAAGAGUAGCUAAAAGUUAAGACUUAGGCCUUUUUCUCAGCUAGCCCCAAGUUAAACCCCAAGCAAACAGGUUUUCAGACAAUAAAUCUUGUGUCUGAACUGAAGUCCUCAGUAAAUACAGUUUAUGCAUUUGAGUUUUGUCCAGGCCGUGUUAUGUCUCUUCUUGACAGAGAAAGAUGCUUCCAGUAGAAUGGUAGUGAGGGAGAUGGAUCAGGAGAUGGGGGGUAUCAGGGCUGCUCUGCUUCUACCUAGCUCUCUAUCCUUUAUCUUUACUUUUUUGAAGCCAAGAAGCUAUCACCGUGGAAGUGCAGCAACACAGAUUAUAAUUAAAAACUCUGCAUACAAAUAUAUUUUAUGUCUUUGUUUUGGAAGUUGACAGUGCCCUGUGUCUUCUGUCUGGGUAGCAUUGUUGUGUUGAUGAUGAUCAGUAAAAGCUGGAACUGAAUGUUUCUUCUGAGGGGAAGAUCAAGAACUUUCCCUGUGUAAAACCACUGUUUAAUCCAGGAUUGGUUUGAAGGGUCCUCUUGAAGGGACCACAGCCUGGCUUAUGUUACCACACCAGGGAGAUCAUGUAAACUCUAACGUUCUUAUUAGUUUGCAUUGUGCUUACUUAAUGGGUAAUUUUUGGGCUACUUGAAUCAUAUUUCCAAACAUAACAAUUGUGCUACUUUUAUUGACAGGAAGGAGUCUCCCUUAUGACAAUUCAAUUCAAUUAACAUUUUAAUGUGAAUAAUAAACAUCCUGGGUCAUGGCUAUUAAAACCAUAAAUGCUAUUAAAAGCUUGCUUUGUGAGUAAGGUGUGACAUUCGAGUUUUAGUUCCUUCCCAGUUUGUGUUAGUUCCACAAGCCUGAUGUGGUGUGGCUUUGACUGCCAUAAGGUGCCUGAACAUGCACAUUUCUAUUGGCUCUGGAACUCCAUCCCUUUCCUUCGAUAACUUUGCUCAAUGAACAUAUUUUCUUAAAUUAUAUUGGAUGGAAACAUAACCAGCAACUGCUGCUUCCUAAUUAAAGCGCAGUUCUUUUGGCCCUCUUAAUGUGUCACUCCUCCCCUACUGACUAGUGAUAUGGCUAGUUCUUCCCUUCAGGAGCAGCUGUAUAUUUUGAACAAUCCAGGGCUGUCAUAGGUUCAUUUUGAAAUCAAUCCAUAAAACAGAAGUCAAUCCCAAAUCUGGAAAAGGGUGUCUAUAAAUGUUCAAAAUGCUGCUUUUCCCAGUGUAUAAUACAGAACUUCAGGUAAUUCCCUCUUAAAUCCUGUUAAUGGCUUUUGAGUAGCUCUCCUCACGCUAGAGACUGCUGUAAGCUGUUCUGAGCUGUGGUUUAACGAUAGAGCGGUGGGUCUCAAAUGCUUUUCUGAUUGGAAGCAACUUAAACCCGUGAUUUUUCUCAAAGAGUCUUCUCUGUCCUGGCAGCUCUCCUGUGGUCUUGCAGGCCUUGGGACGUACAAGAGUGGAGCAACAGAGCUAAAGUGAAAACACACUUCUCAAAAUCAAAUAUUAAUACAGUGCUGUAGGAGACUAGAUUCCAGUUCCUGCAUGUUUCUGCUUUGGGAUUUGGGGGCGUUAUUGGGGUUGACAAAUGACUGCAGGGUCUCACAGCUUGACUUGUUCCUCUCACUUGCUUUCCAGUCUCUGGGUUUGGAUAGAUCUCAAUGCUUGAGUUUACACUAGCUGAAGGCUUAAACUUACUGGCAAGACAGCUGUAUGGAGAGGGUGCCUGCUUUUAAGAAGGUACUCAAAUUUGAGUUCUGUUUCCCCUUCCCCCCAAAAAAGUGUCUGGUAUUUCAGCCCUGACCUGGGUGUCAUCUGGUGGGCAGUGCCACACAGAGGUGCUUCUGCUGCAGCAGCUGAGCAGCAAGGCUGCUCUCUGAAGGGACCUGGCCACUUCAGGAUGGAAGUGGUGCUUUUAAAGGAAGCCUGUGUGUGCCCAAAGGUGGGAAUUGGCCAAGCCAAGGCUCUGGACUGAAAGCAGCUUUUCAAACAGCUCCAGUUAUUUCCUCCAUGUUUACUGCCUCUUUCGCUAUCCAUCCAAAUCAGAGUUUCUGAAGCCUGCAAGGAAAGAAAAAUAUAAUCAAGUCUACACAGAGCGUUACCAUGCACAGGGACAGAGCUGCAAUGAACCUUGCUGACUAGAAAGUGCCAGAGAAAAACACCUCCAGUAUUUCUUGAACUGAAGGCUGGCAUUACUCCUGUGGCACUUGGUGUGCCUUCAGCUUGGUGCCC